This 498-nucleotide ribosomal RNA is filed under the name uncultured bacterium. Its description in RNAcentral is "partial 16S ribosomal RNA". It matches the Rfam family "Bacterial small subunit ribosomal RNA", at positions 28 to 507 of the family's 1533-position model. The record is from RNAcentral.
GACGAACGCUGGCGGCGUGCCUAAUACAUGCAAGUCGAGCGGACGGAUGGGAGCUUGCUCCCAGACCGUCCGCGGCGGACGGGUGAGUAACACGUGGGCAACCUGCCUGUAAGGCUGGGAUAACUCCGGGAAACCGGGGCUAAUACCGGAUAACUCUUUCCCUCCCCUGAGGGCAAGCUGAAAGAUGGCAUCUCGCUAUCACUUACAGAUGGGCCCGCGUUGCAUUAGCUAGUUGGUGAGGUAACGGCUCACCAAGGCGACGAUGCGUAGCCGACCUGAGAGUGUGAUCGGCUACACUGGGACUGAGACACGGCCCAGACUCCUACGGGAGGCAGCAGUAGGGAAUCCUCCGCAACGGACGCAAGACCGACGGAGCAACGCCGCGUGAGUGAUGAAGGUCUUCGGAUCGUAAAACCCUGUUGUCAGGGAAGAAAAAGUCUCGGAGUAACCGCCGGUAACGUGACGGUACCGGAGUAGAAAGCCACGGCUAACGACGUG